CUGUGUCUUGCUUCAACAGUGUUUGGACGGAGCAG
Neotoma lepida (desert woodrat) is the source of this 35-nucleotide regulatory RNA element. It matches the Rfam family "Iron response element I". The record is from Rfam. NCBI's taxonomy places the organism in Eukaryota, Metazoa, Chordata, Mammalia, Rodentia, Cricetidae.